UGUUUCCACUGGCCGAGAAAUGUCAUU
Molecule: non-coding RNA, 27 nt
Filed under: Homo sapiens (human)
Lineage: Eukaryota; Metazoa; Chordata; Mammalia; Primates; Hominidae
Source: RNAcentral